AGUGAACGCUGGCGGUAGGCCUAACACAUGCAAGUCGAACGGCAGCACAGUAAGAGCUUGCUCUUACGGGUGGCGAGUGGCGGACGGGUGAGGAAUACAUCGGAAUCUACUUUUUCGUGGGGGAUAACGUAGGGAAACUUACGCUAAUACCGCAUACGACCUACGGGUGAAAGCAGGGGAUCUUCGGACCUUGCGCGAUUGAAUGAGCCGCUGUCGGAUUAGCUAGUUGGCGGGGUAAAGGCCCACCAAGGCGACGAUCCGUAGCUGGUCUGAGAGGAGGAUCAGCCACACUGGAACGUGGACACGGUCCAGGCUCCUACGGGAGGCAGCAGUGGGGAAUAGUGGACAAUGGGCGCAAGCCUGAUCCAGCCAUACCGCGUGGGUGAAGAAGGCCUUCGGGUUGUAAAGCCCGUUUGUUGGGAAAGAAAAGCAGCAGGUUAAUACCCCGCUGUUCUGACGGUACCCAAAGAAUAAGCACCGGCUAACUUCGUG
RNAcentral lists this ribosomal RNA (492 nucleotides) under uncultured bacterium. RNAcentral describes it as "partial 16S ribosomal RNA". It matches the Rfam family "Bacterial small subunit ribosomal RNA", at positions 29 to 507 of the family's 1533-position model. The record is from RNAcentral.